Molecule: ribosomal RNA, 35 nt
Filed under: uncultured fungus
Lineage: Eukaryota; Fungi
Description: partial 5.8S ribosomal RNA
Source: RNAcentral
UCCGCAGGUUCACCUACGGAAACCUUGUUACGACU